This 768-nucleotide long non-coding RNA is filed under the name Homo sapiens (human). Its description in RNAcentral is "HSALNT0176077". Lineage: Eukaryota; Metazoa; Chordata; Mammalia; Primates; Hominidae. The record is from RNAcentral.
ACUUGGGGCCCUUUAGUUUCGCAUCUGGACCUUCGAUAUUCACAUCAGGAACAUCAACGUCCACUUUGGGUCCUGAGACAUCAAUGUCAGCCUUGGGCAGGUUCACAUCCACAUCUGGGCCCUCUCCUUUGAAGCCAGGCAUGCUGAACUUGGGCAUUUUCACUUUGGGCAUUUUUAAGUGCCAGUCUGGGCCUUGAACGUCCACAUCUGGGACAUCAAUGUCCACUUUGGGGCCCUUGAUGUCAACUUCAGGCAUAGAGAUCUUCGGUGCCUUGAGGUGCAGGUCAGGCAUUUUAAAUUUGGGGCCCUUCAGUUUCCCUUCUGGACCAUGAAUAUCAAUAUCAGGAGUGUCAAUGUCCACUUUGGGUCCUGAGACAUCAAUGUCAGCCUUGGGCAGGUUCACAUCCACAUCUGGGCCCUCUCCUUUGAAGCCAGGCAUGCUGAACUUGGGCAUUUUCACCUUGGGCAUCUUCAGCUUCCCUUCUGGACCUUCAAGGCUCACAUCUGGGACUUCAACAUCCACCUUGGGUCCUGAGACAACAACAUCAGCCUUGGGCAAGUUCACAUCCACUUCUGGGCCCUCUGCUUUGAAGCCAGGCAUGCUGAACUUGGGCAUUUUCAUCUUGGGCAUCUUCAGGUGCCAGUCUGGGCCUUGAACCUCCACAUCUGGGGCAUCAAUGUCCAUUUUGGGUCCUUUGAUUUCAACAUCUGGCACUUUCAUUUCACCUUCUACCUUGGGCACAGACACAUCUGGGGCAUCAAUGUCCA